GGUCAAGCGAAUAAGCGCACACGGUGGAUGCCUAGGCGGUCAGAGGCGAUGAAGGACGUGGUAGCCUGCGAAAAGUGUCGGGGAGCUGGCAACAAGCUUUGAUCCGGCAAUAUCCGAAUGGGGAAACCCACUGCUUCGGCAGUAUCUUGCAGUGAAUUCAUAGCUGCUUGAAGCGAACCCGGUGAACUGAAAUAUCUAAGUAACCGGAGGAAAAGAAAUCAACCGAGAUUCCCUGAGUAGUGACGAGCGAACGGGGAACAGCCCUUAAGCUGGAAUGGCUUUAGAAAAACAAUCUGGAAAGAUUGGCCAUAGAAGGUGAUAGCCCUGUAUUUAAAAGGGCCACUCCAGUGAAGACGAGUAGGGCGGGGCACGUGAAACCCUGUCUGAAUAUGGGGGGACCAUCCUCCAAGGCUAAAUACUCCUGACCGACCGAUAGUGAACCAGUACCGUGAGGGAAAGGCGAAAAGAACCCCGGAGAGGGGAGUGAAAUAGAUCCUGAAACCGUGUGCGUACAAGCAGUAGGAGCUCGCAAGAGUGACUGCGUACCUUUUGUAUAAUGGGUCAGCGACUUACUGUUCGUGGCAAGCUUAACCGUAUAGGGGAGGCGAAGGGAAACCGAGUCUGAUAAGGGCGCAUAGUCGCGGGCAGUAGACCCGAAACCGGGUGAUCUAGUCAUGGCCAGGGUGAAGGUGCCGUAACAGGUACUGGAGGCCCGAACCCACGUCUGUUGCAAAAGACGGGGAUGAGCUGUGAUUAGGAGUGAAAAGCUAAUCGAACCCGGAGAUAGCUGGUUCUCCUCGAAAGCUAUUUAGGUAGCGCCUCGGACGAAUACUACUGGGGGUAGAGCACUGUUAUGGCUAGGGGGUCAUCGCGACUUACCAAACCAUUGCAAACUCCGAAUACCAGUACGUACUAUCCGGGAGACACACGGCGGGUGCUAACGUCCGUCGUGAAAAGGGAAACAACCCAGACCCACAGCUAAGGUCCCAAAUUCACUGCUAAGUGGAAAACGAUGUGGAAAGGCAUAGACAGCCAGGAGGUUGGCUUAGAAGCAGCCACCCUUUAAAGAAAGCGUAAUAGCUCACUGGUCGAGUCGGUCUGCGCGGAAGAUUUAACGGGGCUAAGCAGUGAACCGAAGCUUGGGGUGCGUAAAACUUCGGUUUUAUGCGCGGUAGAGGAGCGUUCCGUAAGCCUGCGAAGGUGGAUUGAGAAGUCUGCUGGAGGUAUCGGAAGUGCGAAUGCUGACAUGAGUAACGAUAAUGCGGGUGAAAAGCCCGCACGCCGAAAGCCCAAGGUUUCCUUGCGCAACGUUAAUCGACGCAGGGUUAGUCGGUCCCUAAGGCGAGGGCGAAAGCCGUAGUCGAUGGGAAACAGGUUAAUAUUCCUGCACCUCGCGUGAGUGCGAUGGAGGGACGGAGAAGGUUAGGUGUACCGGGCGUUGGUUGUCCCGGGGAAAGGCGGUAGGUUUGGAUCUUUGGCAAAUCCGGGAUCCUUUAAGACCGAGCACCGAGACGAGCCUUUAUGGCGAAGUCACUGAUACCACGCUUCCAGGAAAAGCUCCUAAGCUUCAGCUCACGAAGACCGUACCGUAAACCGACACAGGUGGGUAGGAUGAGAAUUCUCAGGCGCUUGAGAGAACUCGGGUGAAGGAACUAGGCAACAUGGCACCGUAACUUCGGGAGAAGGUGCACCCUUUUUGGUGGCUCAUGCGAGCUAUAGCUGAAGAGGGUCGCAGAAACCAGGCCGCUGCGACUGUUUAUCAAAAACACAGCACUCUGCAAACACGAAAGUGGACGUAUAGGGUGUGACGCCUGCCCGGUGCUGGAAGGUUAAUUGAUGGGGUCAGCCGCAAGGCGAAGCUCUUGAUCGAAGCCCCAGUAAACGGCGGCCGUAACUAUAACGGUCCUAAGGUAGCGAAAUUCCUUGUCGGGUAAGUUCCGACCUGCACGAAUGGCGUAACGACAGCGGCGCUGUCUCCACCCGAGACUCAGUGAAAUUGAAAUCGCUGUGAAGAUGCAGCGUUCCCGUGGCAAGACGGAAAGACCCCGUGAACCUUUACUAUAGCUUUACACUGAACGUUGAGUUCGUCUGUGUAGGAUAGGUGGGAGGCUAUGAAACUGUGGCGCUAGCUGCAGUGGAGCCAACCUUGAAAUACCACCCUGUCGUGCUUGACGUUCUAACCUAGAUCCGUUAUCCGGAUCAGGGACCGUGUAUGGUGGGUAGUUUGACUGGGGCGGUCUCCUCCUAAAGAGUAACGGAGGAGCACGAAGGUACGCUCAGCGCGGUCGGACAUCGCGCACUGUGUGCAAAGGCAUAAGCGUGCUUGACUGCAAGAUCGACGGAUCAAGCAGGUACGAAAGUAGGUCUUAGUGAUCCGGUGGUUCUGUAUGGAAGGGCCAUCGCUCAACGGAUAAAAGGUACUCCGGGGAUAACAGGCUGAUACCGCCCAAGAGUUCAUAUCGACGGCGGUGUUUGGCACCUCGAUGUCGGCUCAUCACAUCCUGGGGCUGUAGUCGGUCCCAAGGGUAUGGCUGUUCGCCAUUUAAAGUGGUACGCGAGCUGGGUUCAGAACGUCGUGAGACAGUUCGGUCCCUAUCUGCCAUGGGCGUUGGAAGUUUGAGAGGGGCUGCUCCUAGUACGAGAGGACCGGAGUGGACGAACCUCUGGUGUUCCGGUUGUCACGCCAGUGGCAUUGCCGGGUAGCUAUGUUCGGAAGCGAUAACCGCUGAAAGCAUCUAAGCGGGAAGCGCGCCUCAAGAUGAGACUUCCCGGGGCACAAGCCCCCUAAAGGAACCAUAUAGACUAUGUGGUUGAUAGGUCAGGUGUGUAAGUACAGCAAUGUAUUGAGCUAACUGAUACUAAUGAUCCGUGCGGCUUGACCAU
RNAcentral lists this ribosomal RNA (2883 nucleotides) under Xanthomonas campestris pv. campestris. RNAcentral's name for it is "23S ribosomal RNA". It matches the Rfam family "Bacterial large subunit ribosomal RNA". The record is from RNAcentral. Lineage: Bacteria; Pseudomonadati; Pseudomonadota; Gammaproteobacteria; Lysobacterales; Lysobacteraceae.